Molecule: transfer RNA, 73 nt
Filed under: Camelus bactrianus (Bactrian camel)
Lineage: Eukaryota; Metazoa; Chordata; Mammalia; Artiodactyla; Camelidae
Also listed under: 2 other names
Rfam family: tRNA
About the family: Transfer RNA (tRNA) molecules are approximately 80 nucleotides in length. Their secondary structure includes four short double-helical elements and three loops (D, anti-codon, and T loops).
Source: Rfam by way of RNAcentral
GGAGGAAUAGCUCAGUAGUAGAGCACAUGCUUACCAUGUAUGACGUCUUGGGUUCAAUCCCCCAGUACCUCCA